Molecule: ribosomal RNA, 253 nt
Filed under: uncultured bacterium
Lineage: Bacteria
Description: partial 16S ribosomal RNA
Rfam family: Bacterial small subunit ribosomal RNA
Source: RNAcentral
GACGAACCGUGCGAACGUUGUUCGGAAUCACUGGGCUUAAAGGGCGCGUAGGCGGGCAGCCACGUCUGGGGUGAAAGCCCCCGGCUUAACCGGGGAAUCGCCCCCGAUACGGGCUGUCUCGAGGGGGGUAGGGGCGCGUGGAACUUCCGGUGGAGCGGUGAAAUGUGUUGAGAUCGGAAGGAACGCCGGCGGCGAAAGCGGCGCGCUGGGCCCACCCUGACGCUGAGGCGCGAAAGCCAGGGGAGCGAACGGG